AUGGUGAAAACUCAAACUCUGAAAAAGUUUCGGCGGGCUUCCAGGAGGAGCGCCGCCAGUCCCAAUGAGUCACCUAUUUUGGACUGUCGGGGGGCGGGGAACCGCCGAACAGUUCGUGAAGUUGUGGCUCUUGUAAAAGCCCAUUCCCUAAGUUUGGUCUUUCUUGCUGAAACAAGACAGACCAGUACAAAAAUUGAAAGAUUGAAGUGGAAAUUAGGACUGAAAUGUUUCUGUGGCAUGGAUUGUGAAGGCCGUGGCGGGGGACUAGCUUUGUUCUAG
Molecule: ribosomal RNA, 279 nt
Filed under: Triticum aestivum (bread wheat)
Lineage: Eukaryota; Viridiplantae; Streptophyta; Magnoliopsida; Poales; Poaceae
Description: partial small subunit ribosomal RNA
Source: RNAcentral